AUACUACUUCGUGGUGAACUGUAAAGUAAGAGCAUGUUGGGCCUAGUAAGGAAACAAGUUAGAGUUGAAGACAGUGAGCAAAUGAAGGAAUCAGAGUAAGCAUGGAGGAGCACACGGCUGGCAGGAACAGUUGAAGUGCAGCUGUUCCCUCCAUCCUCCAUUUCCACACCAGGAGGCCCAGGCAGGGCUGGAAAGUGACUCAAGAACCGAUGAACAUGAUGAGUAUCCAGAGCUUAUUCUACAAGCUGGGUCAAAGAAAUAAAAAGCAAAUGAAGAGA
RNAcentral lists this long non-coding RNA (278 nucleotides) under Homo sapiens (human). RNAcentral's name for it is "HSALNT0322638". Lineage: Eukaryota; Metazoa; Chordata; Mammalia; Primates; Hominidae. The record is from RNAcentral.